CCAAGAGCAUGAUAGAUGGAGGAUUGGUACAGUGCUUGUCUGGUGUCCUUCAAGCAAUUGACUUGGAUCACCCUGAUGCGCCGAAAGUUGUGAAUCUGAUUCUUAAAACACUGGAAAGCCUAACAAGGGCUGCCAAUGCUAGUGAGCAACUUUUUAAAACUGAUUCUAUGAACAAGACCACCCUGAUGCUCCGAAAGUUGUGAAUCUGAUUCUUAAAACACUGGAAAGCCUAACAAGGGCUGCCAAUGCCAGUGAGCAACUUUUUAAAACUGAUUCUGUGAACAAGAAAAAAUUAAAUGCCCUUAAUGGUGGGUCGGAUAAUCAAGUGGAUACA
Molecule: long non-coding RNA, 334 nt
Filed under: Nicotiana benthamiana
Lineage: Eukaryota; Viridiplantae; Streptophyta; Magnoliopsida; Solanales; Solanaceae
Description: long non-coding RNA (NBEN_LNC020165)
Source: RNAcentral